This 253-nucleotide ribosomal RNA is filed under the name uncultured bacterium. RNAcentral's name for it is "partial 16S ribosomal RNA". It matches the Rfam family "Bacterial small subunit ribosomal RNA", at positions 524 to 776 of the family's 1533-position model. The record is from RNAcentral.
UACGGAGGGUGCAAGCGUUAUCCGGAUUCACUGGGCUUAAAGGGUGCGUAGGCGGGUAGGUAAGUCUGCGGUGAAAUCUCUGAGCUUAACUCAGAAACUGCCAUGGAUACUAUUUGUCUUGAAUAUUGUGGAGGUAAGCGGAAUAUGUCAUGUAGCGGUGAAAUGCUUAGAUAUGACAUAGAACACCAAUUGCGAAGGCAGCUUACUACACAGUUAUUGACGCUGAGGCACGAAAGCGUGGGGAUCAAACAGG